This 495-nucleotide ribosomal RNA is filed under the name uncultured bacterium. RNAcentral describes it as "partial 16S ribosomal RNA". It matches the Rfam family "Bacterial small subunit ribosomal RNA", at positions 29 to 506 of the family's 1533-position model. The record is from RNAcentral.
AUGCACGCUGGCGGCGUGCCUAAUACAUGCAAGUCGAGCGAACAGACGAGGAGCUUGCUCCUCUGACGUUAGCGGCGGACGGGUGAGUAACACGUGGAUAACCUACCUAUAAGACUGGGAUAACUUCGGGAAACCGGAGCUAAUACCGGAUAAUAUAUUGAACCGCAUGGUUCAAUAGUGAAAGACGGUUUUGCUGUCACUUAUAGAUGGAUCCGCGCCGCAUUAGCUAGUUGGUAAGGUAACGGCUUACCAAGGCAACGAUGCGUAGCCGACCUGAGAGGGUGAUCGGCCACACUGGAACUGAGACACGGUCCAGACUCCUACGGGAGGCAGCAGUAGGGAAUCUUCCGCAAUGGGCGAAAGCCUGACGGAGCAACGCCGCGUGAGUGAUGAAGGUCUUCGGAUCGUAAAACGCUGUUAUUAGGGAAGAACAAAUGUGUAAGUAACUAUGCACGUCUUGACGGUACCGAAUCAGAAAGCCACGGCUAACUACGU